This 253-nucleotide ribosomal RNA is filed under the name uncultured bacterium. RNAcentral's name for it is "partial 16S ribosomal RNA". It matches the Rfam family "Bacterial small subunit ribosomal RNA", at positions 524 to 776 of the family's 1533-position model. The record is from RNAcentral.
UACAGGGGGUGCAAACGUUGCUCGGAAUCAUUGGGCGUAAAGCGCACGUAGGCGGUUCGUUAUGUCGGAUGUGAAAGCCCUUGGCUUAACCGAGGAAGUGCAUCCGAAACUGGCGAGCUAGAGUACGAAAGAGGAUCGCGGAAUUCCCGGUGUAGAGGUGAAAUUCGUAGAUAUCGGGAGGAACACCAGUGGCGAAGGCGGCGAUCUGGGUCGAUACUGACGCUGAGGUGCGAAAGCGUGGGGAGCAAACAGG